This 343-nucleotide unclassified non-coding RNA is filed under the name soil metagenome. Its description in RNAcentral is "partial contains 5.8S ribosomal RNA, internal transcribed spacer 2, and large subunit ribosomal RNA". The stretch from base 1 to 120 matches the Rfam family "5.8S ribosomal RNA", at positions 35 to 154 of the family's 154-position model. The record is from RNAcentral.
GAUGAAGAACGUAGCGAAAUGCGAUAAGUAAUGUGAAUUGCAGAAUUCAGUGAAUCAUCGAAUCUUUGAACGCACAUUGCGCCCGCUAGUAUUCUGGCGGGCAUGCCUGUCCGAGCGUCAUUUCAACCCUCAAGCCCCCGGGCUUGGUGUUGGGGAUCGGCGAGCCUCCGCGCCUGCCGUCCCCUAAAUCUAGUGGCGGUCUCGCUGUAGCUUCCUCUGCGUAGUAGCACACCUCGCACUGGGAAACAGCGCGGCCACGCCGUUAAACCCCCAACUUCUGAACGUUUGACCUCGGAUCAGGUAGGAAUACCCGCUGAACUUAAGCAUAUCAAUAAGCGGAGGA